This 72-nucleotide transfer RNA is filed under the name Araneus ventricosus. Its description in RNAcentral is "tRNA-Glu". The record is from RNAcentral. Lineage: Eukaryota; Metazoa; Arthropoda; Arachnida; Araneae; Araneidae.
UUCCGACACCGGGAAUCGAACCCGGACCUCCUGGGUGAGAGCCAGGUAUCCUAACCACUAGACCAUGCCGGA